CGCAGUAAUCAUAACUGUAAUAAGUAACAAUUUCACAACUGUUAUACAACUAUAUUAUACAACUAUAACUAAUGAUCUGAUAAUAUCCGGCCACCAUCUGUUCUAAACUGAUGCACACGGGCAGGAACAGCUUACGCAGCCUGAUUAAAUGAAGGUGCAGAUAAUUAGUAGUGUUUAAUUCGUUAAUAAUAGAGAAUUACACAUAUUAAGUACCGUUCCCGGAAUGAUAACGUACGAUCACCUGAGGAAUGAAAGAGUUUGUUCGAUCGGUUGCUGCAUCAUUUUCCAUUGAGAAUUUGAUAUCGAAUUGAUUACAGAUUAGUCAAUCGGUG
RNAcentral lists this long non-coding RNA (332 nucleotides) under Zostera marina. RNAcentral describes it as "long non-coding RNA (ZMAR_LNC005509)". Lineage: Eukaryota; Viridiplantae; Streptophyta; Magnoliopsida; Alismatales; Zosteraceae. The record is from RNAcentral.